This 433-nucleotide ribosomal RNA is filed under the name uncultured bacterium. RNAcentral's name for it is "partial 16S ribosomal RNA". It matches the Rfam family "Bacterial small subunit ribosomal RNA", at positions 29 to 507 of the family's 1533-position model. The record is from RNAcentral.
AACGAACGCUGGCGGCAGGCCUAACACAUGCAAGUCGAGCGCGCCCUUCGGGGUGAGCGGCGGACGGGUGAGUAACGCGUGGGAACGUGCCCUUUUCUACGGAAUAGCCUCGGGAAACUGAGAGUAAUACCGUAUACGCCCUUUGGGGGAAAGAUUUGUCGGGAAAGGAUCGGCCCGCGUUGGAUUAGGUAGUUGGUGGGGUAAUGGCCUACCAAGCCGACGAUCCAUAGCUGGUUUGAGAGGAUGAUCAGCCACACUGGGACUGAGACACGGCCCAGACUCCUACGGGAGGCAGCAGUGGGGAAUCUUAGACAAUGGGGGCAACCCUGAUCUAGCCAUGCCGCGUGAGUGAUGAAGGCCUUAGGGUUGUAAAGCUCUUUCAGCUGGGAAGAUAAUGACGGUACCAGCAGAAGAAGCCCCGGCUAACUCCGUG